UACGUAGGUGGCAAGCGUUGUCCGGAUUUAUUGGGUUUAAAGGGUGCGUAGGCGGUUCUGUAAGUCAGUGGUGAAAUACUCCAGCUUAACUGGAGGGGUGCCAAUGAUACUGCAGAACUUGAGUACAGAUGAGGUAGGCGGAAUUGACGGUGUAGCGGUGAAAUGCAUAGAUAUCGUCAAGAACACCUAUAGCGAAGGCAGCUUACUGGGCUGUAACUGACGCUGAGGCACGAAAGUGUGGGGAGCAAACAGG
RNAcentral lists this ribosomal RNA (253 nucleotides) under uncultured bacterium. RNAcentral describes it as "partial 16S ribosomal RNA". It matches the Rfam family "Bacterial small subunit ribosomal RNA", at positions 524 to 776 of the family's 1533-position model. The record is from RNAcentral.